Podarcis lilfordi (Lilford's wall lizard) is the source of this 5767-nucleotide non-coding RNA. Lineage: Eukaryota; Metazoa; Chordata; Lepidosauria; Squamata; Lacertidae. The record is from the annotation of a GenBank genome assembly.
AGUAGAAUAAAGAGGGAAGUGGAAUUAAGAGCAAGGGUUUUCAGGACAAAACCUCUCUCUCUGUUUCGGUGUGUGUGUGUGUGUGUGUGUGUGCGCGCACACACACACCUCAAUUGCAGAAUAGUUAAGUGUUCUUCCACUGAGGAAGUGGAGAGCCCAAGGCAGCUGUCAAGUUAGAUGGGAUGGACAGAACAAAUAGCUGAGUCUGCUUGAUGGGUAAUGCUGCCUUGCAGGGACGAUGGAUUGGAAGUUGUGCCAUGGGCUCCCUUGACCACACUGGCUUUCUCAGCCUCUUUUGUGUGCUGCUGUCAGCUUUAACUAUUUUCCCUCUGCAGACAGAAUGCCUUGGUUUUACUUAAGGGGCAGCAAAACCUCUUAUUUCCAAAGACAGUUUUAUCCAAUUGUAGUCUGACUCACAGCAGACCCCCUUAAGUCACGAAACAUGGCUAACGUAGGUUCAUUAAUCUCAUUGGGCCUACUCUAAGUAAAACGUAGUUGGAUACAGCCCAGAGUUUCCACCUUUUCUUCCCCAUGCUCUAUGGAAGGUCUGUGAUUUGUUUCUGAUAUUGCUUUGCUUUUCUGAGCAAUUUAUGUACAUGCAGGGUUCUUAGGUUUUCUCUCAGUGACAAAGCAGAUAUCCAAAUGAAUGCUUAUUAUUUUGAUGGGGGCAUGCAUGCUAAUUUGUUGCAGAUGGGAACAUGCAUCAGAAUGCAUCCCACACUGGUGGCAAAAAAACAGUGCUGGUGGAUCAAUGUGCUUGCAUUCACUUUCAGAUUAUUUUUUCAGUCUCCAUUUCCCAGAUAUCUGCCCUGCCCAACAAUAAGCAAAUGGGCUAGAAUCUAAUAUACAGUAGAUAUUAGUGGAUCAGCCAGUAGUGCUUUCUAUUAUUUUCUCGUUUCCAAUCUUAACUUCAGUUCUCCUAAUUUCCACAUCAAAUUCGUGGUUCUUUUUUUUUUAAAUAGCCCUAAUGAAAAUUCAUCAACAUUUCUCUUAAUAUCAUCAUUUGGGUGUGCAAUUUUCCCUAAUAUUCAGAGUUUUACAAAGCGGUUCCCCCUAACAUAAUGCAUUUUAACAUGUUGUUUUCACUAAUAUAUACUGUACAUCUUUAGGCACACAGGGGGCCUUUUUGUACACACUACUUGGCUGGAGAACUGCAUUGCAAAUUUUUUGGAGAAGUGCACAUUCUGAAGGAUGCCUAUUUUUCAGUUCACAUAUUGUUUCAGAAAAGUGCUAAUUAGGUAGGUUUGCCUUUAGAUGCAAACUGAAUCAAGUUCAAGUUCCAGCCGCAACAUCCCUGAGGAACCCUCUUUGAAAAUCUGAGACCUCCCAUCCUCAUGUCCUUAAGACCUAUCUGUUGCCACAUUCCGGGGAGUGGGUAGGUUGGGUUGGGAAGCCAAACUUGAGUGCUGCUUUCUUUUCCUGUUUCCCACCCCUGCCCUCUCUUGCUAACUCUCUUUUUUCUUUCUUUUUUAAAAAGCUCGCUCUCCUAAAUGAAAACUUUGCAAGCUGAGCUGCAAAUUGCUUGUUACUGUAAACUCUGCGUGCGUGCCAGCAAUGGCGCACACCAAACAACCCUCGAAUCACCUGAAUUAAUGAGCAGUAGGGAGAGGCAGGUUUUUAAGGUGGUUUUUUUUUUUUUUGCAUUGUGCUAAAUGCAUCCUCCCCAAGAGCCUGCUCACAUUAGCUCUGUUUGUUAAGUACUGUAUAUAGAGUUAAACACUUAAUAAAAUUACACUUCACGGGAGGCGAGACUGACGCGUCGGGUCCAAGGCCCGGAUUGUGUAAAGUGAUGUUUAGCAUAUAAACAUUAGCUGGCCUGGAGCACUCUUUUGUAAUUUUUGUUGUUUGCGUUUUCCUUGUUGAUGGUGUUUAAUAGGAAAGAAACAAGCUACCCACCCACCCACUGCUUCUUUCCAAAAUGACUUCCGUGGACGGCUUGUUCCCCCCCACUGGUUAUUUCAGUGUGCUGCUAAUGAGCUGCAUAAAUUUGCAUACUGAGAACCAAGGGUUGGGAUAUAUAGCUAGAGAGAGGUGUGCAUGCAUUUUAUGCAGAGUAUCUGUGAUUACAGAAUUGGAGCUGUGAGCACCUGUCUCUUUGGACUACAGAGUGUGAAACCAUGGCCCUCCAGAUGCUGCUGGAUUCCCACCAUCCCUGACCACUAGGUCAUUCUGGGUGGGGCUUAUAGGAUUUGGAGUCUUAACAGCAUUUUUUUUUCCUUACAGGGGGAAGGGCACAGAUUCCCCACUCUUGGGGCACUUGGUCUGUUCCAGAAAUGUGACUUCUCCCACCUAGCCUUUAUUACUGUCCGCCUGUGCUCUCCAUUAGAUCCUGCCUGAGUUGCCUGACAUUUUGCUGUUUUCCAAUAGAUUAAUGGUGUCGUCCUUGUUUCUUGUUGCAUUCCUUUUCUCUCUCUCCCUUAUUUUAUUUUACUUCAUUUCCCCUUCUUCAAUCUAGGACAGUUCCUCUUUGCGUCUGUGCUGAUCUUGGCACAACUGCCUUGUGCAAAGCUCUGCAGAGGAAUAGUGAGGUUACCUGAGGGCCAGGGUACCACUCUGUUGCUUGGAAAUACAUGACAAGGUGUCCCCUUGUUAACUAGGCUUACUCGUGGGCAGGCAUACUAGUGGCAGACUUGGGGCUGCCAAAUUUCAGCAGUGCCCUGUGUGAUGCUAAAAUUCAGCCUCUCCCACUCCAUUCUACAGCAUUGUUUCUGCAGCGCAGUGCCCUGCGUGACCACACCAGUCGCACUACACUAAAACCACCUUUGGGCACACCAGCUUUCCAUUUCAACCAGAAAGCUAAGAAGACAGUGUUCCGUUGCAGUUGGUUUAUUUGCUUUAAAGAGACUGAUGGAAGGCACGCUCUAAUUUUACACCCAACAAGAACCGUGGGAGGUUUUUUUAGUACAUGCCUAGCUUGGCAUGGUGAAAUCCCUUGCCUGUGUUUCCACGACACCUCAUCUAGUUCUUUCUCCCAGUUAAGGUAUCCACCCUAUUUAAAAUAUUUUCAAGGCAACUUACACAGUUUAAGAUGAAACAAUACACUAUCUGGGGUCGCUAGACUGCAACCUAGGUUGCUUCCAGAUGUGGUCUUAAUUUGCAAACGGAUCAUUUGCAAGUUUUUAAAAUACAAAAAAACACUUAAUAUUUUCCCUGGAAAGAGUAAAUCCAGAUUAAAUGGGGGGUGGAGGUGGGGUAAAAUGAGCUGGGAUUUUGAGGCAAAUUACACUGUACAGAUGCUGCAAGGGGAAAAAAACCUCUGCAUGUGUGAGGAGCACCAACGUCACAAUAAACACGUCUGGAAAUACCCCUAGAGAAGCAGUAUUUGCCUUGAACUUUUACCAUGUACAUCAUACAUAGAUCUGCAGUAUAAAAAAAAGAAGUCCGGAUUCUUCUAAAUUUGAGCUCCCAACACAGAUAAGCACUAGAGCUUUAUGAAACUGAAAAAAAAAACCCCACAGGCUUCCUUGGACGUAUUAGGAAAGUGCCUUAUCUCACUUUAUUUCCUAACCUGUGACAUGUAUAUUGCUAUACAUAGCAAUAGAUGGGGACUAGAAUCUUGCAUUGCUGGAACAUCGGGUAUUAAAUGUAAGCCUGCUAUAGGCCAUUAUGAUAGGAACACACCUCUAUCCCUGGUUUUCUGUGCAUAGCACUGGCAAUUUUAGAGCAGAAAACAAUUUCAAUGUGAUACAGGAAGUGCCAAUAAGGACUGUGUUAGAAGAUGCUGCAAAAGUCAGUUAAGCCAAAGGCACUGUGGGAUAAAUUGGUAAAUCUAGAGGGGAACUGCAACCCUGAAAGGGAUGCGUUGCUCAUUGCGGGAGUUGAUGGACACAAAUGCCAUUCUGCUGAUAAUUGGCCAGGCUUUUAAUGUUUUCCCUUUUCUGAGUGUUCAUUGCCCACCCUGCUUCCUCAGUCACUUUGUUUUGUCACAAGCCCCUUGAAGUGCAUUUUUCCCUCCCCUGAACAGUUAUUGUUGCUAUUAAGGAAUGCCGGGCUGUCAGAGAGCCCCGCUGGCCAGGAGAAGGAAUCCCACUGAAAGAUGCCUCUAAUGGCGUGUUUAUUGCCUUGCUCCCCAGUUAGCCAGCUAAUCCCAUUUAUUGCCAUUUGCAGAAAUUAAGGGGUUGAAACACUGCACAUUCUUGUACACAGCAGAAGGCGUGCAAAAAGAGAGAAGCUGCAUGUCGAAUGACACCUAAAGUGACUUCUAAUUACUUUCCUCCAUGAGUUUGUUUUGCUUGUCAAGAUCAGGAUCUUGGAGUGGGGGAAUGCUUUAAAUUCUACCCAAACCUAACUAGAGGUCAGGCCUGCACAACUUGCAACCCAGCAAGUCAAACAGUGGCAACUGGUCACUGCUGGAUCUGGGGGGGCGGGGGGGGCAAGGGGCCCACCAGAGGUGGAUCCAACUGGUUAUGUCCCCCUCACGUUCUCUUGCCUUCCAAAGGUACUGUACUGUGGGUGCUUAAGUAACACAGUUACUUGAAACACAGUUUCCUGGCUGUAUAUGGUGGCCCACAAGGAACUUUUAAAUUAUCGUUUUUGCUGCCUACUCUGGACUAUAAAAAUGGGUGCGAAGGUGGUGUUGGGUUCAAGACCCUGGCAGGUCACUUUAUGUAACUGCUAGGCGACAUUUGGUAUGAAGUUGUUCCAACCCUGGCCUAGGGCUUAUGUUGGGGGCUUUUCUUUCCUGGAGUGAAUUUAUUGAGGAGGGAAGUAUAUCCCCUUUGCCUGGUGCUACAGAAUUGCCCAUCCAGUGAUAUGUGGGGAGAAGUAUUUUCUCUCAGGACUUGAAGAAAUACUUAAAUAUUAAUGGCAAGAUGUAAAUUAAGAUGUAAAUAUUAAUGGCAAGAUGUAAAUUAAGAUGUAAAUAUUAAUGGCAAGAUGUAAAUUAAAAGGGCUCCCAUAAGGGGGAAACUUCUUCAAUGGGGCCCUAUUUCCAAAAAUCUUUGCUGAACCAGAGCUAAGGUUCAUCUCACUCAACAUCCUCAUUCAAAUGGUGGCCAGCCCAAUGCUUUUGAGAAGCACAUUUUGUGCUUAGCCUCUGGCGCUCAUAAGAUAUGCUACCUUUACAAAUGGAGGUUCCACACAACUAUCAUGCUUAAUAGUUCUUGAUGGACUUAUCCUCCAUCUGUUUUCCCCUCCCCUUCCUUGCUUCGUGACACUUUCCAGCUAAGUAAUGGGUUGUAUCCACCUAAGUCAUUCUUUGAGUGGACCCACUCUACUGUUAGUUGGGACUUAGAUGGAUGUGACCCAGUUCCUCACCACACCCAUCCAUCCCAAAAGUCUUGUGGGCCUCUUUAAUCUACAUCUGCACUUUUGGGGGGACAAACAUGUGCAAACCUGACCAUCAUGUGGAACAGCAAAGCUCUCUCCUACGAAUUCAGACCAGUGGUCCAUCAACCAGAUUCAAAGAUGCACCUCCCCAAGUUUCUCCAAACUUUCCCAGCCCUUUUCCUGAAAGUGCACCACCGGCAAUACUGGGGAUCAGAUCCAGGAGCCUCACACAGACUCGGGAUACGUGCAUUACUGCUCAUUUCACAGCCCCUUUCUUGUCUCUCAUCCUCCCAGCAAUUCACAAGAUCUGAAAAACUCAGUCAGGCAGACAUGCAGGUUGUCAUACUGGCUCAACUAUAGCAAGUGGCAAAACUUUAGGUGUUCAAACACAGGGUGGAUGUGGGUUUGAAUUUCCUUUAAGCCUCCUGAUUUGAGCAGGAGAAUCUCUUAUACUAACACCUCUGCAACUUUUGAAUCUGCUCUUGGGCAGGGGAAGAAC